RNAcentral lists this long non-coding RNA (586 nucleotides) under Gossypium barbadense (sea-island cotton). Its description in RNAcentral is "long non-coding RNA (GBAR_LNC005724)". Lineage: Eukaryota; Viridiplantae; Streptophyta; Magnoliopsida; Malvales; Malvaceae. The record is from RNAcentral.
CUGUAAUAACCAAACAAGAAAGCCUUAGAAGAACACACACAAUUCACAAAUUAUUUGCAAGGAAACAUUAGAAGAACACACAAGAAAGCCAACACUUGUAAACUGUAAUGUGAAGUGUUCUGCAACCAACCAAGGUAGGAGUUCUGGGGGCAACGGAUCAUGAAGUUCCUUCAUCUUCCCGUUGUAUAAAAGAAUAAUUAAAUAUCUGCCAUGUUAUACAUUCCAAAUGAACAAUGUAGUCACACCCAUUCUUUAAGCACUCAAGAGAUAGAUCUAGGCAAGGUUGAUGACAGACAUGACAUGCAGAGAUCUUCUUGGUGAAAGUGAGUUGGUGUGGAUGGCUCCUCAUUCUAUAGGAACCCCCAAGCUUCAUCUAUGAAUGCCUUUUCACAACACAUUCACGAUGAGCUGAAGUGUUACAAAUUGCACAAUGGUAAAACCAAUGGUUUGGAUUUCUAGUUUCUUCACAAAUGUCACAGUAAGUGUAUUCUGAAUAAAGAUUAUCCUCAUGAUAGGUGAGUAUGAGAGGAUGCUCAUCAUACUCGUGUUGAAUCUUGUUGGGAAGCCUAAGCCACCUAUUAUGCAC